CAAAAAUUCUGCUAUGUCAGUUGUCUGAGAUUUGCUACCUAUGUUUUCUUCUGGGAUUUUAAUGGUUUCACAAAUUACAUUUAAGUCUUUAUCCAUUUUUAAUUUAUUCUUGUGUAUGGUGUAUGGACCUGAUUAAUACUUCUCUGAAGAGGACAUACAAAUGGUAAGUUUAUGGUCUAAUUUCUUUUUUCUUCUUCUUUUUUUGCAUUUACCUGUCUAAUUUUCCCAACACUGAUCUCGGUCUAAUUGCUGAUUGUUCUACAGGCUCCCUCCAUAGAGAUUACAGGAUCUAUGGCAGGGAUAGUAGCCGGAGAGGAAAACAGAGUUUCAGAAGCUUUUGUAAAUACUACCAGUAAUACAUACAUAUGAGUGCAAAGGUACAUAUGAAUUUAUUUGUCAAUCUGUAGAGCCAGCAAUACUCAAGCAGGUAAAUCAAACCUUUCACCAUUGAAGAGAAGCUACAAUGAACCUCCUACAUCAGGGGUCCUCAAACUUUUUAAACAGGAGGCCAGUUCACUGUCCCUCAGACCGUUGGAGGGCCGGACUAUAGUUUAAAAAAAACUAUGAACAAAUUCCUAUGCACACAGCGGCGGCAAAAACACCCGGCAGGCCGGAUAAAUGUUUUCCGCGGGCCGUAGUUUGAGGACCCCUGUCUUACAUAAAUAUUCAUUUGAAAAUCUGCCACUGGGCUGUUUUCACUCAUUCAUUCAACUAGAUCCACCUGCCUAUGUAAUUCCAGUCUUUAUUUUGUCUGUUGGGUGAAAAUGGCAAUCUCAUCGACUUACUCGAGGCCUCAGGCUCUUGGAAAUAAAUGAUGAACCAUUCAGGAGCUACACAUCUGAGACGCAGCCCACAGAAUGGUUUCUGCCCUGAGAAAGAUGACUUGGGACACAUCGGAGCCAAACCAUUUCCUUCAACCCCUGAGCACAUUGUUUCCCUCCCGUGACUUCUGCAAUCCAGAAACAGCUGCAAAUUCCAGUAAAACAACAUUGGGAUCCAAUUCCUGAAGCCAUCCUUGUCCUUUUGUUUUUCUCUCUGGAGGGAGGAAAGGGAAAAAUCCUUGAAAAGCUGCCAUGGUGCAUUAUUUCCAAGCGUCUGUUAAUGGAGGUGUGAGCCAAGCGGCCCGUUCUACUGGAGGAAAGGAGAGAGCAGAAAUGGAAAAAGGGAAGAUAUAAAAAAAUGGAGAAAAACCUGAGUGAGUGAAAUGAAAUUACACAAUGGGGGGGAAAGAAGAGCGAAAACAUUGCUCAUGCAAAGCAUUUGAAAUGCGCGCUUCAGAAGGCUUCAUCUCACCUCGCUUUCCACUUUGGCUGAGCCAGGAACCCAGUCUAUUUUAGUAUUUAAUUUGGACCCUUCAUACUUGAAGCUAACCGAAUCAGAGGACAUCAGGAUCUAUAAAAAUGAUACUGUGAAUGGAAGGUGCCUAAAGAAGAUACUAUUUCACAAAAUUAAUUACAGUAACACACUUGCAACCUCUACAAUACACGUACUACAAUUUUAUGAAGUUUACUCAGAUUUUGUAGCCCAAAAGCUUCAAAAUGGCAUCCAGUUCUAAGUCUGCUUUUAUUGGUGAUGAUGAUAUUGCUAAAUAUGUCAAUUCUUGCUGUGAAGAUGACGAUUUUGUGGAAGAUAUUGGAGAACAGUGUCCCUCUAUGUUAGCAUUAUAUGUUUUGUUCAAAUUUUUUUUCUACUCGUAUUUUAUAAUACAAUCAGCAAACAAUAGAUGUCAAAGAUGAAAACAAAUGUAGUAAAGGUU
This is a long non-coding RNA of Myotis myotis, 1756 nucleotides long. RefSeq lists it as uncharacterized. The transcript has 3 exons. The record is from RefSeq and is a predicted model, not a curated record. NCBI's taxonomy places the organism in Eukaryota, Metazoa, Chordata, Mammalia, Chiroptera, Vespertilionidae.